AUUGAACGCUGGCGGCAUGCUUUACACAUGCAAGUCGAACGGCAACAGGCCGCAAGGUUCCGCCGAGUGGCGAACGGUUGCGUAAUGCAUCGGAACGCGCCCAGUCGUGGUGGUUAACUACGCGAAAGAUUAGCUAAUACCGCAUACGACCUCUGGAUGAAUACGGGUGACAGUAAGGCCUCGCUCGACUUGACCCGCCGAUGUCAGAUUAGGUAGUUGGUGGGGUAAAGGCUCACCAAGACAACGAUCCGUAGCUGGUCUGAGAGGACGACCAGCCACACUGGAACUGAGACACGGCCCAGACUCCUACGGGAGGCAGCAGUGGGGAAUUUUGGACAAUGGGCGCAAGCCUGAUCCAGCAAUGCCGCGUGCAGGAAGAAGGCCUUCGGGUUGUAAAGUGCUUUUGUAGGGAAAGAAACGGAUCUGAUUAAUACCCGGGGCUAAUGACGGUACCGAAAGAAUAAGCACCGGCUAACUACGUG
Molecule: ribosomal RNA, 482 nt
Filed under: uncultured bacterium
Lineage: Bacteria
Description: partial 16S ribosomal RNA
Rfam family: Bacterial small subunit ribosomal RNA
Source: RNAcentral